Molecule: long non-coding RNA, 3947 nt
Filed under: Homo sapiens (human)
Lineage: Eukaryota; Metazoa; Chordata; Mammalia; Primates; Hominidae
Description: HSALNT0119027
Source: RNAcentral
GGGACUACAGGCGCCCGCCACCAGGCCCGGCUAAUUUUUUGUAUCUUUAGUAGACACGGGGUUUCACCGUGUUAGCCAGAAUGGUCGCAAUCUCCUGACCUCGUGAUCCGCCCGCCUCGGCCUCCCAAAGUGCUGGGAUUAAGGCGUGAGCCACCGCGCCCGGCCUUUUUUUUUUUUGGUUUUUUGGGUGAGACAGGGUCUCUGUUGCCCAGGCUGGGGUGCAGUGGCGCUAUCUCAGCUCGUUGCAGCCUCGACCUCUUGGGCUCAGAUCAUCCUGUCACCUCUGCUUCUCAAGUAGCUGAGACUACAGGCUUGCGUUGCCAAGCCCGGAUAACUUUUUGUAUUUGUUUUUUUCUUUUAUUGUAGAGACGCGGUUUUGCCAUGUUGGCUAGGCUGGUUUCAGACUCCUGAGCUCAGUGAUCCGCCUUUCUUGGCUUUCCAAAAGGCUGGGAUUACAGGUAUGAGCCACACUGCCCAUCUUACAGCAAACAUUUUUUGAUGUCUGUUGAAUACCAGGCAACAUGAUAGACUUUGGGGUAAAGUAACAAAUUGAGAAAUACACAAUCCCUGAUUUCAAGAAAUUGGUCAUGAAGUGGAAAGAAGGAAUGGUUACUAAGAGGCUCAGCAGAGGAAAACAUGUCAGCCUAGAGGUAGGAAAUGUUUCAUGGAAGAUAUUGCUUCUGUAUAAGGCCUGGAAAUACAAAGAGGGCUAUUAUGGGCUGAAUUUUGUCUCUCUACAAAUUCAUAGCAAAGUCACAUGUGUGUCAUAUGUUGAAAGGAUAACUCCUCUUGCCUGAGAAAGUGAUUUUAUUUGGAGAAGAGGCCUUUGCAGAUGUAGUCAAAUUAAGAAGUCAUUAAGGUGGGCUCUAAUCUAAUCUGACUAGUGUCCUCAUAAGAAGGGAAAAUUUGGACAGAGAGACACAGGGAGAAGACCAUGUGAAGAUUGGAUAUAUGUUGCCACAAGCCAGUGAAUGCCAAACGUCACCAGCAAACCACCAGGAACUAAGGCAAAGGGACUACUGCAGUUUCCGUCAACCAAGUUGACACUUCAGGGAUACUUUUGUGACCACCAGGCAUUACAAGGAUCCUCAAAGUUCCCCAGGUAUUUGUACUAGUUUAGAAUAGAAUGCCUCAUACCAUCAUAUUGUUUUAGAAUUUGUUAGGUGCAUACCAAAACACUACAAGUUGUGCUCCGAAUUUUCAUUUCUAUUUAUUUAUUUUUAAUUUGCAUACAUUUAAAGGAUACAAGUGUAAUUUUGUUACAUGUAUAAAUUGCAUAGUGGUGAAGUCAGGGCUUUUAUGGUAGUCAUCACUCAAAGAACGUAUAUUGUACCCCUUUCCAGUGACAUUGCUCUUUGGGUAUUAACUCAGAGUCAUCUAUAGCCAUUAAGACCUAGGUAGAAAUUCAUAGUGUGGGGCCAGGGACAGUCUGACAGGAGGCUAUCCUAAGAAUCACUCUUUCCUUCUGAAAAUAAAAUGUAGUAUGGAAUCAAGUUCGUCAUUGAUAGCUCCCUCUUCUCUCGGAAUGAGUUUUCAUGUGGCACAUUCUCAGUUCUCCAUGCAAAGAGUCUUCCUAGUUACUCUUUAUCAUUUUGGCAGACGGUACCAAAAAUAUCAGAAUUUCAAAAGAUGACACAGCAUAGGCUAAAGGUGGUGACCCUUUUGCCACUUCCUACUGUUUUAGUUCUUACACUGCUCAAAAUAGAGAUUCCUGAAUAUAUUUAGAAAUAGUCCCCUAUAUCCUUAAGAUAAUGCCAAUUGCUAAUAUUUACUGGACAGUUGCUAUAAGCCAGGUACUAUGCUAAUCACACUGAUGUAUUACCUUAUUUAAUUCUCUAAAAAUUCUGAGGUAUUGUCAUAAUUUCUACUUUAUAAAUAGAAAAAUUACAGAAAUGGCCUGAAGUCACAGUUCGUGAUGGAACAAGGCCUUGAACCAGGGCUUUUUCAUUCCAAUGCCCAUGCCCUUGAGCACAGCCUGUACUGUUUCUCAAUAUCAGUAAUUGUUACGGGUUGAAUUGUGUCUCACAAAACAUGACAUGUUUAAGUCCUAAUCCCCAGCACCUCAGAAUUUGCCUUGGCAAAUUGGCAGAAUGGUCCUGCCAACACCUUGAUUUUGGACUUCUAGUCUCCAGAAUUGUGCGAAAAUAAAUUUCUGUUGUUUUAAUCCACCUAGUUUCUGGAAUUUUCUGCAUCAGCCCUAGAAAAACAGUACAGCCAUAUAAAUAGAGAAACUCUAAGAAAAAAGAUGAUAUACUAUAAACAGAGAAUCUAAAAUGUAAUAUAGCCUAAGAGGAAUGAGAGACUCCAAACAUAAAACAACUUUGUGAGUGUGAUGGUUAAUACUGAGUGUCAAUUUGAUUGGAUUGAAGGAUACAAAGCAUUGAUCCUGGGUGUGUCUGUGUGGGUGUUGCCAAAGGAGAUUAACAUUUGAGUCAGUGGGCUGGGGAAGGCAGACCCACCCUUAAUCUGAGUGGGCACAAUCUAAUCAGCUGCCAACAAGGCUAGGAUAUAAGCAGGCAAAAAAAAUGUGAAAAGAGAGGCUGGCCUUGCCUCCCAGCCUACAUCUUUCUUCGGUGUGCUGGAUGUUUCCUGCCCUCCAACAUCGGAUUCCAAUUUCUUCAGUUUUCGAACUCAGACUGGCUCUCCUUGCUCCUCAGCCUGCAGACUGCCUAUUGUGGGACCUUGUGAUUGCGUGAGUUAAUAUUUAAUAAACUCUCCUUUAUGUAUAUAUCUAUUCCAUUUGUUCCGUCCCUCUAGAGAACGCUAAUACACUGAGUAAGAAAAAGAAGAACAGGAGACCCAAAAACAAAGAAAAGAAAGAAAAAAGUAAACAAAGUAAUCUGGUUGUAAAAUGAGUUCGCUAGAUUUCUGGUGACAUCUGAUUUUAAUAGGAUAUUCAUAAAAAAUGAAAGCAGGGAUAUAAAACCAAAGUAAAUAAAUACUUAUAACUCAUUGCGAACAAGGUUAAUAUUUAGGGGUUUGGUGGUGGUGACUGGGGAGAGGAAAUUACAGACAAUUAAAGACCAAAACAAAAUAAAGCUUGGAUUUAAUGUAAACCUCAAAUUUAAAAUAAUAUUCCCAUGUGGCAUCAUAGAAAUGGCAUCCAAAAGAAUAAAAGUAAAACUACAGCAAUAAUUUAGAUCUGUAACUAUAAAUCGUCUGAUGGAAAAAUAGCUAAAAUUGUUCUCUAUUGAAAUAGUUAUGAUUGUUACCUUUCUCAUCUCAGCUGGUCUCCCUAUUUCUAAAUAUUGGAAUAGAGCAUCAGGGUGUCCCAAUUCUUCAGUGGGCUCAAACCAAUUACUAUUGGUUUUCAUAUGGUUCUGAAUAAUAGACACUUCUAAUAUGCAGAUGCUUUCAGAGAUUCAUACAAAUGUUAAUGUAUUUAAAAAACCUUUUUUUUUUUAAAAACCCUAGUUAAUCCAAAAAUGGACUAUCUAGCUAUGGAAAUUGGAGUUGUGUAUGCAAGAAGUGUGUGAAUUAUCAGGAGAAUCCUGUUGAAAAUGAAGCCACUAUCAUGGUUAAGAGGAUUUGAAAUCUAAGAUCAGGAGUGACUGCUUUCGGUGAAUACAAGUUUCUAAGACUAGAAGAUGGACAUUCUAAAGUUCAGAAAAAGUCACUUCUCAAAUCACUAAGUUAUGUUGCUUCCUUCACAAUGUUGACCAAGAAUCCCUUCACCCCUUUUCUUGUUAACAUUGCAGUCAAACAUUGAUUAUCAUGCACUUUAAUAAAAUAAUAGCCAAAUUGUUAUCUCAUUUCUCUGCCUCAAGUCUGUUCUUUUCUCAGUUCACAUUGCACACUGCCUGGCUUGGGCCAUUCCUUGGUUCAGAAAUCUUAAAUUGUUCCCCAUUUUCCUACAGACUAAAGUUUAUUUUCCUUAACCUAGCCCUUUAUUGCUCCUCCAAAUUUACUCGUCUCACAAACCAUCUUUCUAGCAUCAUUUCCAAUAA